This 440-nucleotide ribosomal RNA is filed under the name uncultured bacterium. Its description in RNAcentral is "partial 16S ribosomal RNA". It matches the Rfam family "Bacterial small subunit ribosomal RNA", at positions 338 to 795 of the family's 1533-position model. The record is from RNAcentral.
CCUACGUGCGGCAGCAGUGGGGAAUAUUGCACAAUGGGGGAAACCCUGAUGCAGCAACGCCGCGUGAGUGAAGAAGUCAUUCGUGAUGUAAAGCUCUAUCAGCAGGGAAGAAAAUGACGGUACCUGACUAAGAAGCCCCGGCUAACUACGUGCCAGCAGCCGCGGUAAUACGUAGGGGGCAAGCGUUAUCCGGAUUUACUGGGUGUAAAGGGAGCGUAGGCGGCGACGCAAGUCUGAAGUGAAAUGCCAGUGCUCAACAAUGGAACUGCUUUGGAAACUGUGUAGCUAGAGUGCAGGAGAGGUAAGUGGAAUUCCAGGUGUAGGAGUGAAAUCCGUAGAGAUCUGGAGGAACAUCAGUGGCGAAGGCGACUAUCUGGCACAUAACUGACGCUGAGGUGCGAAAGCGUGGGUAGCAAACAGGAUUAGAUACCCCAGUAGUC